Molecule: long non-coding RNA, 3916 nt
Organism: Heterocephalus glaber (naked mole-rat)
Lineage: Eukaryota; Metazoa; Chordata; Mammalia; Rodentia; Bathyergidae
Source: RefSeq, a predicted model, not a curated record
UCCCUCUAGUGCGGUCUGUUUCUGGCUUCUAUCUCUCUCAGGUAAACAUCAGAGCCUGUUCCGGCAUUGGACCUCUGGGCUCAGCCAUCUGAGCCCCCUCCAAGCCCAGGGGGCUGCCUGCGGAAGGAGAAUCCAUUGUCUGCCCCUUCCUGUCCCAGGUGCCCACACCUUUGGGCUGCUGAGAUACAUCUGUGGUGGCAUUUGGCUGUGGCACAUGAGAGGGUCUUUGUGCCCCAACCCCGCCAGGCUCCACCACGUUUUGGGCAGAGGCAAAGAAACCUGAGGAAUUGCUGUCUACCCAUUCGGUCGCAAGGCUGGGGACAUUCAAGGGCUGAGGACGCAGUUUCUGUCUCCUGUCGGAAGGAGCAACAGAGCCUUGCAUCUGAACUGUGGCUGUGAGCUUCCUGUUUCCUGUCCUUGCCUGAAAUCUGCACAACUUCUCUACCUCAGACAUGAGACUCUCUGAAAGUCCCCUGGGAGCCAAGGAUGAUAGAUUCACUUGCCCAGUGCUGGGCAGAUGUGCACAACAUAAUUCAUGGGUAGAGCUGGAACAAAGGGGUCAGAAUUGCUCCGAGCAUGGCCUUGCAUCUGAACCUGGCUCUGCCACACAGCGGUUGGAGCACCUUGCUCAGUGCGUCCAUCAGGAUAUGUAAGGUUCUGCUCCAGGAAGAGACAAAACCAAAACCAAAUUGCAGUUAUUUGUCAACAAAGACUUUAGCUCCAUCACACUGUGUGCCUCCACAGAUUUUUUUUUUUAAUCGAUGAAUACUAUCUGAGCACCCUCUGGCAGGCACUGUGUCAAAUUAUGCAACUUUUUUUUUUUUUGGUACUGGGGAUCGAACUUGGAACCUUGUGCUCACGAGGCAGGAAGUGGAACCACUGAGCUAAAUCCCCGGCCUGCAACUUUACUUUUAAUGGGAGUGUCUUACUUACUUUUCUCCUUGCUGAGACAAACUACCAGACACUCAAAGGAGGAAAAGUUUAUUUGGCUUAGAGUCUGUAGAGGUUUCAGUUUAUAGUUGGCUGACUCCAAGGAGGGUAGCAUGGCAGAGGGACAUCACGGAGGAGAAACAAUUCAUGGUGGGCAGAAGGUAGCAAAGCAAGCAAAAGACCUUAGCAGUUUUUUCUGCACCUUUUCUAACUAGGCUACUAGGAUUAAGGUGAGGCCAAACCAAUCAGUGCACUGAAUUAGUAAUCACCCACCUUAAUCUUAGCAUUGCACCAUGAGUCAAUCACACACUCUAAGUCAGCCACCUCUGAAAGAGCCACAUGUAGGAGGCUUUGAAGGCAUGUCUGGACAAAGCCAUAACAGGGGAAGACAGUAAAUAUGCAUAAUAAAUAAAUUAAGCAACAUGGUAGAAAGUGACACAUUCCAUGCAAAUUGAAGCAGAGAAGGAGAUUAAGGUUGGUGAGUUGGCUUUUUCGCUCCUCGGGUGAGGAUAUCACAGUUUUAAAUAUGGUCAUCAGGGAUGAGGACUACUGAUGACCCUGCUACUGUAGGCUGGGGAUGGGCAGCCUUAUUAUUUUACACUUUUUUUCUUUUUGGUUUUGGGGAUGGGUCUAAAGGAUGCUGUACCUUGAGCAUCAUCUCCACCCUCCCCUUUUUAAUAUUGAGACAGGAUCUCACUAAAUUGUCCAUGUGGGAUUUGAACACAUGAUCCCCCUGCCUCAGCCUCCCAAAGGGCUGGAAUAACAAGCAUGCACCACCAUGUCUGACUAAGACAUUUUCAUUUUAACAGGACUUUAUUUUCAGCAAACAAAGAAACAAACAAAGAGACACACAGGAUGAGACUGAACAGAUGGCAGUGGAACUGAUGCCCCUCUCUGCCCCAGAGGACAGUGGGCUAGGGGUGGGUGCUUGCCAAUUGCCUGAUUUUGCCUCUUUCCAACUCCCAGCCAGGAGAAAGCGGAUGUGGCCCCUACUCAAUCACAUGGGUGCCCCCAGCUUCCCAGGUGGGCUUACCUGCAGCUGCCCAUUUUCCCUACGAGGCCUUCCACAUCCCCAUCUUUGCAUCCCUCUCGACAUGAGUGACAGUGCUGACUCCCUGCCCUUCUUUUCUACAGGGGGACAGAGGCGCCCUGAGACGGGACCCAGACUCAUCUCCUGGUUCUUAGAAUCUGUGUGUCCCCCUCUUCAGUUGAGAGAAAACAGGCAUUUUUGUCUCCCGCCUUUGGCCUCAGAUUGUGAUGGAAAGGCCAGCAGGGGUGCUCUGAAAAGUCCAGCUUCCUCUCCUGGCCGGAGGAGCCUGACUGCACCGGCCAUGUUAAGAAACCUGAGGAAUUCCUAAGGGUCUUAAAGACACAGUGAGGCUGCAAAUUGGUCUCUGGAGCCCUGCCUUUCCCCUGUGAAGCUGCUCUUCCUCCCACCGACCUUGGUGAACAGUGUAUCUCAGGUUCCAGCACCGGGAAAUGGUUUGUGUUCUGGCCCACCCCACCAGAUGGGCACCCUGACAGGAACACACAUCCUAGAUGACCCAAGACCAUGGGAAAACCCUCAACUCCAGACCACACUGCCUCUCUCUGGAGGGCUCGCCCUCUAUUCUAUUCCCACUAUUCUGAGUUAUACUUUUAAAUUCUGCCGAAUAAACCUCGUUAUGCUUCCUGUCUCUGCUUUGGGGACCUCUUCAGGCUAUCUCUGUGGGUGUCCUCUCUCAGUGGCUCAAACUGGGGCUUCCCUGGUUGGGAAAUGGUCUCUGAGGAUCCCAGGGUGUGGGAGCUCUGAGGGAAGCAGCCCUGUUCCCCCCACCCAUGCCAGCUCUGAUUGACAAGAGGGACCCUGGGUGCUUCUGAGGCAGGUGGCACAGUGGGUAGGAGCCCAGACACAGCGCCGAGUUGCCAGGUGUAGUGAAUUCUUAGAACUGUGUUGCCUUGGCAUCUGCUUUGACUGUAGUUGAAUUCUUUUGUGGCCAGAGUGGAGCUCAGUCACCCAUGUGACCCGAUUUCUAGUCCCCACCUCCUUCCAGCUCCUCAAGGUGGUCAGUCUGUGUCUCCUGAUGGCCACGUCUGUGAGGGACAGCUAGACAAACCUGCUUGAUGCACCCCACAGACCCCAUACCUUGCAGGACACACAGACGAACAGUCACAGUGCUGUCGGGUAGUUCCUUUAAAAAUGGCUCGCCAAACAAAAGUAUUCCAGGUCCUUUUCGUCUUGAACAAAGAAUGGGAUGAGACCAGCCAAAAACAGUGUCAAAGGUUUAUUUCAGCGGUGAGGGGUGAAGGGGUAAGGGAAAAACAAAAGAAAGGAUAAAAGUAAAAAUAAAAGUUCAGGAGACACAGGGAAGGCUACCAUGAAGAAUCACAAUAGCGGGAUCCUCAUGUCAUCUUGUCUCUUUAUGUUGUCUACAUCUGAUGAGAACCUGUGAGAAGUUUUACAUACAGCAUCCUGGGAAUUAUUUGACACUGUCCUGGGAUCUUGUAAUUGGCAGGUCCUGCCUUAUUUUUCCAGCCAGCUCUGCCACGCCCACCUCCUAUGUCCACAGUGUUAGUCCACCCAGCUCAUGCCUGAUUGGUGCCCUAAACCCACCAAUCAGAGCUCCUAUGGGAAUCCCCCCUGGAGAACAUCCUGAACCCAUAGAGAGUUCUGGUCCACAGGUCCCUCUCUCCUCUCCCUGCCCCCUUCCACUGGUGGAGCUUCUGCUAUCUCUAGACUUCCUGGGGGCCCUCCAGGGUCCCUUCCUCUCUCAGCUUUGGUGAGCUGCCUCAUGCUGAAGCAGGACUUAAAGAAAGACAACUUCCCGGCCUUGGGCAAUCCCCUCCCCCACUUUGGGUCGCCCCCUCGCCCUUGUAGCUGUAACUCCUUGUUCUGGUACAAGGUGAUAAAAUUGACAACCAUGUCCUAUAAACAAAGUUUAUUGUCAGGUAAAAGGGCCGAAGACCAAGACCAGACCAGGCCACAACAAGCCUUUAUUAGGGGGCU